This 253-nucleotide ribosomal RNA is filed under the name uncultured bacterium. RNAcentral's name for it is "partial 16S ribosomal RNA". It matches the Rfam family "Bacterial small subunit ribosomal RNA", at positions 524 to 776 of the family's 1533-position model. The record is from RNAcentral.
UACGUAGGUGGCGAGUGUUGUCCGGAAUUACUGGGUGUAAAGCGCGUGUAGGCGGGAGGCCAAGUCUGUGGUGAAAUCGCUCGGUUUAACUGGGCGGGGUCCAUGGAAACUGGUCACCUGGAGGUCGGUAGAGGCAAGUGGAAUUCCCGGUGUAGUGGUGAAAUGCGUAGAGAUCGGGAGGAACACCAGUGGCGAAGGCGGCUUGCUGGGCCGGACCUGACGCUGAGACGCGAAGGCGUGGGGAGCGAACGGG